RNAcentral lists this long non-coding RNA (426 nucleotides) under Lonchura striata (white-rumped munia). Its description in RNAcentral is "domestica (Bengalese finch) lncRNA (ENSLSDG00000008434.1)". The record is from RNAcentral. Lineage: Eukaryota; Metazoa; Chordata; Aves; Passeriformes; Estrildidae.
CCCUCCCGGUGUGACCGGUCCCUCCCGGUGUCCCGCAGGGCGAUCCCCACCUGCGCACGGCUCACGGGCUCCUCAGCUGCUACUGGGCCGGUACCGUUCACUGCGGGCUGGGCCUGGCGCUGGCCGGGGCCGCGGGGCGCAGGAAGCGCUGCCGGCCGCUGGGGCUCUUCUGGCUGGGCUCGCUGCUGAUGAGCGCCGUGGUUUUCCUGCUGGGCAGCCUGAUCGGGAAGUACAGCUCCGAGCUGAGCCCGGCCUUCCUCCUCAACCUGCCCUACCUCCUCCUCCUCGCCUGGACCGGCCUCCGGCUCUUCCAGCAGCCGCGGGCGCCGCCGAGCCUCAGCCCCGCCGAGGUGAGGCCGGAGCGGGGAUUUGGGGGGGCCGGGGGGAGCGUGCGGACCCCAAAAACCCCAAAGUGCCUCUCGCAGA